Long non-coding RNA from Vitis vinifera (wine grape), 1048 nucleotides. RefSeq lists it as uncharacterized. The record is from RefSeq and is a predicted model, not a curated record. The transcript is spliced from 2 exons. Lineage: Eukaryota; Viridiplantae; Streptophyta; Magnoliopsida; Vitales; Vitaceae.
GGCUUACUAUAGGACAGGUAAAUUGAGUUGUUUUCUGGCCAUUUUUGGGGCUGUAAGUUGGUUUGUUGAUUGAUCAUGUGAGCAUUUGUGUGGUUGACUUGCAAAUAAGAGUCGGAGUACAUGUAUUUUGGUUUUGGGAAAGUAAGGCAAGAUUUAUGGGAAUGUUUUAUUUUGGGGCACUAUUUUAUAGCAACCCGAAAAUGAAAAUGGGGUUAGUUGGAAUGUCCCAGUUCACAGAAAUAGGCUACAAAACCUUUAGGAGUGUGUAUAUUUAUGGUUUUGGAAAUUCUUAAUCUUCUGUAACAUUAUCUUUGAUUUAAUACAAGAAAAGAGUAAAUUAACUAGUUGAUGCAAGCAGUCAUGAAAGAGAAAGCUUUUCGUUCUUUUGAUUCCUUUGUUUCUUGAUUCUCUCCUCUAGUGUGAUUUUAUGGGUGACUUUCUUAGGAAGUGGAGUGAUUGUGGAUGACGUCAAUCCAAGCUGCAUAUUAAUGAACUGCACUGAAUCCAAACCUAUCAAGAAUUUUGAGCCUUUUUUGCAAUUAGGGACCAGAAAUUUAGCUCCCACUUUUCACCAUCUGACCUUUUUUGUUUUCUUUUGUGUCUGCCUAACAUGUUUAUUCUAGCCAACGAGCAGUCAGAACUGCAUUAUGGUGUAACUUCCUCGUCUUUUCUCUCAAGUUUGGGGUCUGGUUAACAACCUCUAGCCAUGUUAUGUUGGCUGAAGUUGUGCACUCAGCCGCAGAUUUUGCAAAUCAGGCUCUUCUUGCAUAUGGUCUGAGUAGCUCAAGGCGUGCUCCUGAUGCUAUCCACCCGUGAGUAUUUCAUUUCAGAGGUCACCUUUGGCAUCAAUGUUCUUGUAUUUGUUAUAUUUACAUUGACUUCACCAUUCAGCAUAUGGAUCAAACUUUAUCUAGAUCAUAGUUGUUAAAAACUUAGGAUACAUGAUACGAGGCGCUUAGCAACCCCUAUCUUAUUUUAAGUGUAUCUUAUGAAACAUAUAUGAUACAUCAUCCAAUGCUUGAUAAAAUGAUAUUUACACUUUUAGCUA